Molecule: transfer RNA, 72 nt
Filed under: Sphingobacteriaceae bacterium
Lineage: Bacteria; Pseudomonadati; Bacteroidota; Sphingobacteriia; Sphingobacteriales; Sphingobacteriaceae
Description: tRNA-Ile
Rfam family: tRNA
About the family: Transfer RNA (tRNA) molecules are approximately 80 nucleotides in length. Their secondary structure includes four short double-helical elements and three loops (D, anti-codon, and T loops).
Source: RNAcentral
AAGCCUAUAGUAUAACGGUUAGUACACGCUGUUGAUAUCGGCGUAGUAGAGGUUCGAUUCCUCUUGGGCUUA